Molecule: ribosomal RNA, 301 nt
Filed under: uncultured bacterium
Lineage: Bacteria
Description: partial 16S ribosomal RNA
Rfam family: Bacterial small subunit ribosomal RNA
Source: RNAcentral
CAGUAGCCACGGGAAUACGAAGGGGGCUAGCGUUGUUCGGAAUUACUGGGCGUAAAGCGUGCGUAGGCGGUUACUCAAGUCAGAGGUGAAAGCCCGGGGCUCAACCCCGGAACUGCCUUUGAAACUAGGUGACUAGAAUCUUGGAGAGGUCAGUGGAAUUCCGAGUGUAGAGGUGAAAUUCGUAGAUAUUCGGAAGAACACCAGUGGCGAAGGCGACUGACUGGACAAGUAUUGACGCUGAGGUGCGAAAGCGUGGGGAGCAAACAGGAUUAGAUACCCCCGUAGUCCCUGUCUCUUAUAC